AAUCAACGCUGGCGGCGUGCCUCAGACAUGCAAGUCGAACGAGAAAGUUUCCUUCGGGAGACGAGUACAGUGGCGUCCGGGUGAGUAACACGUGGGUAAUUUACCUUUGGGUGGGGAAUAGCAGCCGGAAACGGCUAUUAAUACCGCAUAAUGCAGCGGCUCGACAUCGAGACAGUUGUUAAAGCGGGGAUCUGACAAGGACCUCGCGCCUAAAGAGAAGCCUGCGUCAGAUUAGCUAGUUGGUAGGGUAAUGGCCUACCAAGGCUGUGAUCUGUAGCCGGCCUGAGAGGGCGGUCGGCCACACUGACACUGACACACGGGUCAGACUCCUACGGGAGGCAGCAGUCGGGAAUUUUGGGCAAUGGGCGCAAGCCUGACCCAGCAACGCCGCGUGAAGGAUGAAAUCCCUCGGAU
Molecule: ribosomal RNA, 414 nt
Filed under: uncultured bacterium
Lineage: Bacteria
Description: bacterial SSU rRNA
Rfam family: Bacterial small subunit ribosomal RNA
Source: RNAcentral